This is a long non-coding RNA of Mustela erminea (ermine), 1088 nucleotides long. RefSeq lists it as uncharacterized. The transcript has 3 exons. The record is from RefSeq and is a predicted model, not a curated record. NCBI's taxonomy places the organism in Eukaryota, Metazoa, Chordata, Mammalia, Carnivora, Mustelidae.
GCCCCCCCACCCCCGCUCUAGCUAAGGGGUGGGAGGAGAGCAGAUCUGGUCAUGACCCCCUCAGUUAGGGCAGGUGGGCGCUGCCUUCCUACGAGAGUCUGAAAAGGAAGACUUUCUUCUGGAAAGAGAAUGAAAGGGGAGAAGCUGCCCCUACUCUCUAAGAGCUGAAGAAUGAAGCUGGUGUGGGAUGGUAGCCCCAUGCGACCCACAGUCUGCAACUACCACAGUCCUCCAGAAGAAUCUACCAUAGGGAGAGUCCUAGGAAAAGCCUGUUCUCAACCUCCUCCUUACCCUAAUUCUGCCUGCUCCUUACGGUUCCACCUGAUGACCUAAUGCAGAAGAGUUCAAGUGCUCAGGCCCUGUGCUAACAAAAGCAGUCUGCUCAGCAUCCAAGAUGUAAAUCGCCCUCUGCCUGACACCUGGCCACAAGCUGCUGGAAGGAUGACCAGAAUGGCUGACUCCCCAUCUGUCAGAUGCCCUGGUGACAAUUUGCAGACAGAGUCCACAGCCCCGUGCAAGUCUAAACACUUUAAAAGGGCCUGACAGCUGGCACAUGGGUGUGUGUCAAGCAAGACACGGGCAGUAUGAGCUCUUGGAUAAGGUUCAAGGACAUUUCUAUAAACCAGAGCCCCACUCCUCCCCCCCCCCACUCCCCAAAUCAUCCUUCUUCCCUGCCUAGGACUGACUGGACAACUUUCCUCGGUAAUGUUGGAAAAAUAUCCAGAGAUGGAGAGAUGAGCCCUGGUACUUACUCCCCGGCCAAAGCAAGACUUCCUUCUCCACUAAGGAUUCAAAAAUGAAAGCCUUGCCAAGAAACCUCCAGCACCGCAGACCCCAGAGAUCUCACACAGUUCUGGAUUGAGAAGGAGAAAGUCAUCUUUGGUAUGCAAACAUUCGAAGAUAUAAAACCUGGGCUCCUGGAAAAAAGGAGCUGCAGAGGCCAGGUCCAAUUCACAGGGAACACCCAUAUGUGGAAAUCCACUGAGCUUAUCCUCAGCGCAGAUCAAAGCUUUGUAACUCUGGAGCCCUGGACCCUAGCCGGUACAUUGCCCCUCACUGUCACACAGUAAACAUUUGAUGAUUUACUA